This 253-nucleotide ribosomal RNA is filed under the name uncultured bacterium. Its description in RNAcentral is "partial 16S ribosomal RNA". It matches the Rfam family "Bacterial small subunit ribosomal RNA", at positions 524 to 776 of the family's 1533-position model. The record is from RNAcentral.
UACGGAGGGGGCGAGCGUUAUUCGGAAUUAUUGGGCGUAAAGGGCGCGUAGGCGGCCUUGUAAGUCAAAGGUGAAAUCCCUCGGCUCAACUGAGGAACUGCGUUUGAAACUGCAAGGCUUGAGGCCGGGAGGGGGUAGCGGAAUUCCCAAUGUAGCGGUGAAAUGCGUAGAUAUUGGGAGGAACACCAGUGGCGAAGGCGGCUACCUGGACCGGUUCUGACGCUGAGGCGCGAAAGCGUGGGUAGCAAACAGG